GGAGGAUCUCAGCGACCUUCAAGAGGAGUAUGAUGGUGGCCGAAAUCUCAAUGUACGUAUAUCAGUUUCUGAUAUAGAUUUAACUUCAAGGAACUGUGGGACUUGUGACAUAAUUCCCUAUCCCCUUAGCACUGGGCCUAAUUGUGGAGAUCCCUACUACUUCAAUUUCUACUGCAACAUCUCCACAGGGCAACUUAACUUUCAGG
Molecule: unclassified non-coding RNA, 206 nt
Filed under: Hevea brasiliensis (rubber tree)
Lineage: Eukaryota; Viridiplantae; Streptophyta; Magnoliopsida; Malpighiales; Euphorbiaceae
Source: RNAcentral